This 2044-nucleotide long non-coding RNA is filed under the name Canis lupus familiaris (dog). RNAcentral's name for it is "lncRNA (ENSCAFG00000053252.1)". The record is from RNAcentral. Lineage: Eukaryota; Metazoa; Chordata; Mammalia; Carnivora; Canidae.
AUAUUAGCUAAUGUUAAUAUUGAUAGGCAAAGCACACACAACAGGCCCUCAAGACGCCUAUAUUCCUUGAGGUUAACCCCAGGCAAACCCUCCCUUUUCCUCAGUCUCCCCGUUUGUGAAAUCUCUCUAGUUCCCAGACCUAGCACCAGGCCAGGAUUCAAAGCCAGAGGCAGCAGAGGAAAUUCAGGUGAAAGACCACCAAAGCAGGGUGGUAGGGCUCAGGCUGGGAGCAGAGGGGGGCCGGGCUGGGGCCCCAGUGAGCCCAGCCUGCUGCAGUGUUUCCCAGGGCCUGCUGCUGCCUCCUCUGAGUGCCCCGGCCCCAUCCUGGCCACGCACAUUGGGACAUGCCAGGGCCUGGCUUCCCAGGGGCCAGAGGGAGCUCCCGCAGGGGACUUCAAAAGCCCAAAUGCCUUUCAGAAAGGAACUAAAACUUUCUGCCUAACCAAAGCCUCCACAGGAGAAGAACAGCCUAGCCCUUUUCUUUUUAAGUCUCUUUAUUUUCCAGCCGGCUGGCCUGGUCAUUCUCUUUUUUUCCUAUUAUAAACGGUCCCAGCUGCAGCACACAGGGAAAAAAACCAUCUCCCAGGCCUGGGCAGGGGCCGCUUGCAGCCAAAGCCGCCUGGCUGGCCUCCUGCGGGAGACAAAGGCGGCUCCAGCCUCCGGCACCCACUGGGAGAGGCCCUGGAGCCCCCACCCAGAGCCAAGGCCACAGCAGGAGCUAGGGGAAAUUCUGGAAGUUUCUGCCAGCACUCCAAACCUUCUCCCGCCCCUGGGAGCAGAGCCACCAUCCGGCUAAGCCAAGGACUCCUGAAGAGCCUGUUUGCCAAGGGCAGAAAAUGAAAGAUCAGCAACCCCCCACCCCCACCCCCGCUCCCAUAAAGGCCACAGGAUUCAGAGCUUUAGAGAUGAUCUAAUCCAAACACGCACCUCCAAAGAUGGGAGCAUCUUUCUGAUAUCUAAGGGGGAACGACUUGCCCAAGGUCACAUUGCCAACUACCGGCAGAGCUGACCCUUGAAGCCACGGCUCCCAGUUCCCAUACCAGGUGGCAGAGAAGUGUUAGGGGAGAAGAUGAGAGACCCAAAUAUCCUGAGGUUACCGGGUGGGGUGAGGAUGUCAUUUCUUUUAGUGAUAGGUAAAACUGAUAUGGGACAACCCGAAAGAGGACAGCCAGCUUUGUAUUCUCAGCUCCCCUGCCUUCCAGCAAGUUACCUCCUUUCUCUGUGCCUCUUCUGGUUCCCCAUCUGUGAAAACAAGGAUAUGCUGGUUCCUACCUUACAGAGCUAUCGUGAGGCCUGAACAAGCCAGUACAUAAAGCAGUUAGGAUAAUGCUCAGAAAAGGUACCUAUUGGGGUGCCUGGGUGGCUCAGUUGGUUAGGCGUCUGCCUUGGGCUCCAGUCAUGAUCUGGGGGUCCUAGCCCCCAGCCCCAGGUGCAGCUCUCUGAUCAGCCUGAGUCCACUUGUUCCUCUCCCUCUGCCCCUACCCCACCCCAUGCACUACCACCCCCACCACCCCUGCUUAUGCUCUCUGUCUCAAAUAAAUAAAUAAAAUGUUAAAAAAAAAAAAAAGUUACCUCUUACUAUCUGUAAAUGUAAGGAUUUGUUUUCUUCACCCAGCAAAUGUUUAUUUGCAACCUCUGGGGUCUUCUCUGUGACAGGAACGGGGCCAGAUGCUGGGGAUCCAGCUGGGCAAGGCAGAAAGGUCCUGGGCCUGCUGGAACUUCCCGUGGAGGGGGACAGGGGGUCUGAGGGAUGCGGGUCGUCUAGCCCAGGGCCUGACUCAUGGCACUCCAGGUCCUCGGGUCCGGUAGGAAUCUAGCGGGACUCACAACCUCCCUCGGCCGUCUCCAAAGCAAAGCUGACCCGGCGGAUGACGCCAGGAUCCUGGAGAGGCUCCAAGGAGAACACCCUUGCAAAGAGGUGGGAAGCUACCACGCCGCUGCUCUGUGUGCCUUUGUGUUUUAAAUCCUGGCAACCAGCUUAAGUAUUUUUAAUUAUGUUUUUAAGUAGGAUUGGGUCCCGGGCGGACGGUUUGCGACCCCCCAC